This 85-nucleotide transfer RNA is filed under the name Felis catus (domestic cat). It matches the Rfam family "tRNA". From Rfam's summary of the family: Transfer RNA (tRNA) molecules are approximately 80 nucleotides in length. Their secondary structure includes four short double-helical elements and three loops (D, anti-codon, and T loops). Lineage: Eukaryota; Metazoa; Chordata; Mammalia; Carnivora; Felidae. The record is from Rfam by way of RNAcentral. RNAcentral also lists the same sequence under 1 other name.
GCCCGGGUGGCUCAGUCGGUUGAGCAUCUGACUUCGGCUCAGGCCACGAUCUCGAGGUUGACGAGUUCAAGCCCCGUGUCGGGCU